Molecule: transfer RNA, 71 nt
Filed under: Bacteroidia bacterium
Lineage: Bacteria; Pseudomonadati; Bacteroidota; Bacteroidia
Also listed under: 1 other name
Description: tRNA-Cys
Rfam family: tRNA
About the family: Transfer RNA (tRNA) molecules are approximately 80 nucleotides in length. Their secondary structure includes four short double-helical elements and three loops (D, anti-codon, and T loops).
Source: RNAcentral
GGUCGCGUGGCCGAGCGGUUAGGCAGAGGUCUGCAAAACCUUGUACACCAGUUCGAAUCUGGUCGCGACCU